Oncorhynchus keta (chum salmon) is the source of this 527-nucleotide long non-coding RNA. RefSeq lists it as uncharacterized. Lineage: Eukaryota; Metazoa; Chordata; Actinopteri; Salmoniformes; Salmonidae. The record is from RefSeq and is a predicted model, not a curated record. The transcript is spliced from 3 exons.
UUAGCUUUUAUUAUUUAUAGAAAUUAUGAACGAGGUUGGUGUGUUUCUAAAUCACUCACGCGACUGUUCAAUGACAGACGUGUUUAGUUUUAAAUAACUUGUUUCAUUUCAGAGACAAAUAAUCAUGGUUUUUAUGCUAAAUGGUAUAUAUCUGCCUCACUCUCAGAGAAAUCAGUAGUACUACUAGGUUUUACACAGUAAUAAUAUAUAUCUGCCCCACUCUCAGAGAAAUCAGUAGUACUACUAGGUUUUACACAGUAAUAAUAUACAUCUGCCUCACUCUCAGAGAAAUCAGUAGUACUGCUAGGUUUUACACAGUAAUAAUAUAUAUCUGCCUCACUCUCAGAGAAAUCAGUAGUACUGCUAGGUUUUACACAGUAAUAAUAUAUAUCUGCCCCACUCUCAGAGAAAUCAGUAGUACUACUAGGUUUUACACAGUAAUAAUAUAUAUCUGCCCCACUCUCAGAGAAAUCAGUAGUACUACUAGGUUUUACACAGUAAUAAUAUAUAUCUGCCUCACUCUCAGA